UAGAGUUUGACUUAUCCGACAGGAGAUGUGGGGAUUGGAGAUCCUAAAACUUUUUAUACUUUCCCGCCCCAACUCCUCGAUCUCACUGAUAAUGCUUGUCAACCACAUUUCCACAUGUUCAAGCCUUUCUUGCAUAAUUUUAAGCAUAUAAAGGUACUGUUAUUUAAGUCUGUAAAUGUGACAGGAGAUGUUCUUGACUUCUUCCUGCACAAUUGUCCUUUUCUUGAAGAAAUGGUGGUUCAAUCAUAUUCCUGGUAAAUUUGAAUGUCGUUGGUCCUUUCCUCAAGUUGAAACGCUUGGAGAUAUGGUACUGGCGUAUUACCACCGUGUAAAAUUACUUCAAAUCUGUGAUACAAACCUUGUAACACUUGUGACUUCAGCAGGCGACAAAUUAUUGCUUCGUAAUGUCCCGAUGCUGAUUGAGGUAGAAAUUGCGGGUUUCAUGUUCACACAUAUUUGGAUGAAAUAUUGCCUUGGAGUUGGGUUUCAUGUGUUCUCUCUCAGCUAGAGGUCCUCAAAAUACAUGCUUGUAAUGGAUUGGAGUACUUGGAGCAUUACAAAUUUCCUGAACUCACCAAGCUCAAGAAAUUUGUCGUAGAAGUUUUAGCAAAGGAAGACAUGAGUGUCUUAGGUUGCAUAAAUGUCAUAGGGGCGGCUCCACAGUUGAAGGAAUUUGAGUUGAAGUCGUUUUGGAGUAAUCCCACGAGGCGAGAAUGGGAGUGUGUGAAGACUGUAAGAUGUUCACUACAUCACCUCAAAGUGAUCACGUUUUUUCGGAUAUUUUUGAAGUAUCGGUGAACUUAAACUUGAACUCGUUAGGUAUUUUUUGGAAAAUGCUAUGGUGCUCGAGAAAAUCGUUGUUGAUCCUCGUAAUCAAUAUGACCUUGUCCCGUCGGAAUCAGAAGAAAUUGAGGAGCAAAUGACAGGAAAUUUUGCUAAGCUCCAGCUUGAAGGUGAAGUACCUUCGCCUAUUGAGUUGGUGAUACUGUGAAGGUUAAUUUAUGGAAAUAAUAAUAUGUUAAUUUUCAGUUAUUUGGACCCGUAUAUUUAAGAUUUAUGCUAGAGGGGAAAUGUGGUUUAAUAUAAUGAUUGUAUUCCUGAGGGAGCUUUAUGUAUGAUCUAAUUUAUAUUUCGAAAUUUGCUUAUUUUGACCUUAUGUAAUGUUUGUGUCAAGUCUAAUAACAAGAUUUAUGGUGCUGGCAAUUUUACAUACAA
Molecule: non-coding RNA, 1215 nt
Organism: Nicotiana tabacum (common tobacco)
Lineage: Eukaryota; Viridiplantae; Streptophyta; Magnoliopsida; Solanales; Solanaceae
Source: RefSeq, a predicted model, not a curated record